Molecule: ribosomal RNA, 430 nt
Filed under: uncultured Alphaproteobacteria bacterium
Lineage: Bacteria; Pseudomonadati; Pseudomonadota; Alphaproteobacteria
Description: bacterial SSU rRNA
Rfam family: Bacterial small subunit ribosomal RNA
Source: RNAcentral
AACGCGAAGAACCUUACCAGCCCUUGACAUCCCGGUCGCGGGAACGAGAGAUCGAUCCCUUCAGUUCGGCUGGACCGGAGACAGGUGCUGCAUGGCUGUCGUCAGCUCGUGUCGUGAGAUGUUGGGUUAAGUCCCGCAACGAGCGCAACCCUCGCCCUUAGUUGCCAUCAUUCAGUUGGGCCCUCUAAGGGGACUGCCGGUGAUAAGCCGCGAGGAAGGUGGGGAUGACGUCAAGUCCUCAUGGCCCUUACGGGCUGGGCUACACACGUGCUACAAUGGCGGUGACAGUGGGACGCAAUGGGGCAACCCUGCGCAAAUCUCAAAAAGCCGUCUCAGUUCGGAUUGCACUCUGCAACUCGAGUGCAUGAAGUUGGAAUCGCUAGUAAUCGCAGAUCAGCACGCUGCGGUGAAUACGUUCCCGGGCCUUGUA